GUAAGGCACUGUGCAGGCUCCCCUUGGCUCCUACACCUAGUGGAAGUUAUGGGUGUUUCCCAGAGUUCUUGGAGCCCUGGCGGACCCCUGCUCUCCCAUCGCUUUAGGGAACCCUACAAAGGACUGUUUUGUCUGUGGUCACACGACACACUGGAAAUAGGAUCCGGAUGUUUUGAAUUCCAGCUGAGGGGUUCCUGGUCAGAGGAGUGGAUUUUGUUAUUUUGCUUUGAUUUGGACGUUUAUUAACGUGUGCCCAAUAGUAGCAGAGGAGUUGGGAGAGGUGGGUCCUACAGCCACACACUGUGUGGGAUCUUUUGCGUGCUUGCGUACUUUUGCAAAGCUCUGUUGCGUGUGGUGUUCAGUGCCAGUCUCAGAAGGACCCUGUAAGGUUGAUGGGGUAGGUUGUGUUCCCAUUUUAUAAUUCCAGAGACUGAAGCCCGAAGAGAGAAUUUCAAAUACACUCCUGGAGUCUUGAAUUCCUUUCUGCCUGCCUCCCUUUAAAAGAGAGAGAAAUAAUCACCACUUCGUUCAGAGAAAGGAGACCAGCUUGUGAAGGGAAGUUCCUACACAUUGUCCUAGAAGGGAUGGUCCUAGAGGCGCUAGAGAGAGGCUGCAGAGAGGUCUCGGGCCACGUGGAGGCUCACAAGGACGGGAGAGGGGCUGGCCCCCUCUGGGAGGUGGGGGCGUGUGGAAUUGGGGGCUUGUGGGUCUCAGUUAUGUUCAGUGUGGUUUGGGUGUAGAAUGGAGGCCAAAGGAAGAAAGCUUCAGGAAACAGACUUUCGUGUGCAUGGCUGGAGCAUUUCUAAUCUGGGCUUAGGAGCUGGGAAGCCCCAUCCUUGGAGACACCUGAGCACAGAUGGGUGAUUCCUUGAUAAAGCCUCCGUGGAAGGGAUCAGCGUCACAAGGCUUUGUUGAGAUGCAUCGGACAUACGACAUUGUGUAAGUUUAACGUGGACGACGUGACGAUUGGAUACACGUAUAUAUUGCGAAACAGUUACCACAGUAAGCAACUGCCUGCACGUGGUUGACCCCAUGCCUGUGCCCGGCCAUGACGUGGAGGCCUACUGCUUGCUGUGCGAGUGCAGGUACGAGGAGCGCAGCACCACCACCAUCAAGGUCAUCAUUGUCAUCUACCUGUCGGUGGUGGGGGCCCUCCUGCUCUACAUGACUUUCCUGAUGCUGGUGGACCCUCUGAUCCGAAAGCCGGAUGCGUACACAGAACAGCUGCACAAUGAGGAGGAGAACGAGGAUGCUCGCUCUAUGGCGGCUGCCGCGGCCUCCUUCGGGGGACCCCGCGCCAACACGGUCCUGGAACGUGUGGAAGGCGCUCAGCAGCGGUGGAAGCUGCAGGUGCAGGAGCAACGGAAGACGGUCUUCGAUCGGCACAAGAUGCUCAGCUAGAGGGCCCGGCACAGUCGGGCCAAGGACCAGCGGCCACGGCUGGAUAGAGCCAGGGGCCACUCUCCCCUCCUUCGACGCCACCCUUCCUGGGUCUUCCCUUUAAAAGCCUGUGGCGUUUUUUCCUCCUUCUGCCCCUCUUUAGAAACGUUGUUCUCAGCUGAGUUAAUUCCGGAAGCGUGAUGGGGUCCCCGAUCUCUCGUUCGCCUGCUCAGGUCUUGGGGGUUUGUGGGGGGAAGGCAGGCCAAGAGGGGAUGGAGGCGUCCGUCUCAGGCGGCCUCAGGGUUGGAAGGAGCCUCUCUCUCAUUGCUCCACCCUUGCCACCUCUCCGGCUCCAAAUCCCGGGAAGGUUCCAGCCUCUGGAAGGUGGAGCUGGGUCGUCAGGACCUCGGUGUGUGGGAGGAAAGCCUGGCCCCUGCCACCUGUGCUGCUUUCUGCUGUGGUUGUGGUGGCUGCCUUCCUCGCCACCCCGAGACGUCAGCCCCCGAGCACCCAUCCCCUCUUCCUCCUCCCUCCUCUCCUCCCCUGACGCAUGGUGGUGGCCGUGCACCCUGCCUCCUCUCGGCCCGGCCCUCCCGCCCACUCAGGAGGCCAGGCAGGCCCCUUGCCUCCCUGUGUGUGUUGUCACUGAGCCAGACGGGUGGUGGGACCACGCGGCACAAGGCCGGGCGGUGGCUCUGAAUGCCACAGCCUUGGGGCACCACGCAUCCCUGAAUUUCCUUGUAGCGUGCAUGGGCAGACAUGUUUGUCUACCGUUGUCUGUAAGUCAAGGAAGCCAUCAUUAAAUUGUCUUAUUU
Molecule: long non-coding RNA, 2195 nt
Filed under: Equus caballus (horse)
Lineage: Eukaryota; Metazoa; Chordata; Mammalia; Perissodactyla; Equidae
Description: lncRNA (ENSECAG00000051659.1)
Source: RNAcentral